RNAcentral lists this ribosomal RNA (253 nucleotides) under uncultured bacterium. RNAcentral's name for it is "partial 16S ribosomal RNA". It matches the Rfam family "Bacterial small subunit ribosomal RNA", at positions 524 to 776 of the family's 1533-position model. The record is from RNAcentral.
UACGGGGGGGGUAAGCGUUGUUCGGAAUUACUGGGCGUAAAGGGCUCGUAGGCGGCCAACUAAGUCGGACGUGAAAUCCCUCAGCUUAACUGGGGAACUGCGUCCGAUACUGGAUGGCUUGGAUUUGGGAGAGGGAUGCGGAAUUCCAGGUGUAGCGGUGAAAUGCGUAGAUAUCUGGAGGAACACCUGCGGCGAAGGCGGGUUGCUGGGCUGACACUGACGCUGAUGCGCGAAAGCUAGGGGAGCGAACGGG